AAUCAACGCUGGCGGCGUGCCUAACACAUGCAAGUCAAGGCGGUAGCAAUACCGACUGGCGCACGGGUGCGGAACACGUAGGUAAUCUGCCCUUUAGGGGAGAACAACUCAUCGAAAGGUGAGCUAAAUCUCCGUAAUGUUUUACUAUGGCAUCAUAGUUCAACCAAGUUUUCUAAGGGAUGAGCCUGCGUCUGAUUAGCUAGUUGGUGAGGUAACUGCUCACCAAGGCUACGAUCAGUAGCUGGUCUGAGAGGGCGACCGGCCACACUGGGACUGAGACACGGCCCAGACUCCUACGGGAGGCAGCAGUGGGGAAUCUUGCGCAAUGGGCGAAAGCCUGACGCAGCGACGCCGCGUGAGGGAUGACGGCCU
This 372-nucleotide ribosomal RNA is filed under the name uncultured bacterium. RNAcentral describes it as "bacterial SSU rRNA". It matches the Rfam family "Bacterial small subunit ribosomal RNA", at positions 32 to 417 of the family's 1533-position model. The record is from RNAcentral.